GGGGCAUUAGCUCAGCUGGCUAGAGCACUACGCUGGCAGCGUAGGGGUCAUCGGUUCGAAUCCGAUAUGCUCCACAA
Molecule: transfer RNA, 77 nt
Filed under: Reichenbachiella faecimaris
Lineage: Bacteria; Pseudomonadati; Bacteroidota; Cytophagia; Cytophagales; Reichenbachiellaceae
Description: tRNA_Ala_GGC
Rfam family: tRNA
About the family: Transfer RNA (tRNA) molecules are approximately 80 nucleotides in length.
Source: RNAcentral